RNAcentral lists this long non-coding RNA (274 nucleotides) under Linum usitatissimum (flax). Its description in RNAcentral is "long non-coding RNA (LUSI_LNC006244)". Lineage: Eukaryota; Viridiplantae; Streptophyta; Magnoliopsida; Malpighiales; Linaceae. The record is from RNAcentral.
UUCAAGCCUUCAAUUAAUCAUGUGUACAUUAGUGGCAUGUAACUCGGUGGAGUCCAGUAGUCAAUAAAGUUGCUAAAUUUAGUAAUUGCAGGAUUAUAUAGUCUCCCUUAAUCUUUCUGAUGUAUAGUUUAAGUUUCAAAAAAAAGAGAAAAGAGAAAAUUGAAAAUAUCAAAAAAGGGAGUAGACAAGCAAAAAAUCCCGUCUUAGAGAUAAAAAUAAAAGAAAAUGAAAAAGAAGUUGUAGUAGAUUAUUUGAAUAAACGAGCAGACAAGCU